Molecule: long non-coding RNA, 437 nt
Organism: Dicentrarchus labrax (European seabass)
Lineage: Eukaryota; Metazoa; Chordata; Actinopteri; Moronidae
Exons: 3
Source: RefSeq, a predicted model, not a curated record
GGGCUGCUCAGGCGAACUGACGCCAUGACGGAAAGUUCGCGGUCGCUCCGGAUACUUGAACCUGUUUCAUGAAGACGUUUGGAGGACGAGAGGAAGAAGGAGAGACAAUAAAAGAAGGAACUGGAGUUUCCUGUGAGUUAUAAGGAGGAGCUGCUGAGGCUCUGUGGGAACUAUAGAGGAGUCUUCAGUUGAAAGGGCCUGCAGGAAACACAGAAGAGUCUUCAGGUAACUCCACUAACCCUACCGUCGUCCACAGGGACUUUGGCUCAAGAGUGUUUGUGAACUACAGAAGAACUACAUACAGUAAGUCCACAGUAUAUUUAGUUUCCAUAUCAUUACUAGUAACCAUUCAUGAGUGAGACAUUUAAAAGUCUUUAUUUUUCUUUCAGAGAUCCAAAAUGCAAAAAAAAAGAAUAAAUAAAAUAAUUAAAUAAAUA